RNAcentral lists this long non-coding RNA (486 nucleotides) under Triticum aestivum (bread wheat). RNAcentral's name for it is "long non-coding RNA (TAES_LNC011077)". Lineage: Eukaryota; Viridiplantae; Streptophyta; Magnoliopsida; Poales; Poaceae. The record is from RNAcentral.
CCUAUUUUCUUUUGUGAUUUUCUUCGCACCGAUUGACGAAAUAAGCUGAUGUCUUCCAAGUGGCGACAGUAAGUCCAUAGAAGCCUUCAAGAUGGCCACCAUCCUGUAAGCAGAAAGUUUAUGGGUGGAUUCCUAAUUAAAAAGGUGAAACUGCACAAAUGGAUUGCUAUGUAUUUCUUAAUUUGUUGAUUUCGAAUCUCCAAAGAAAUUUUGCUUGCAAAAUCAAAAUUACAUUGGAGAGUUUCUUAGAAAAAUUAUCAGUAUUAAUUUGUUAAAAUUCGAAAUGAGAAGAGUAAUUAGUUGUGUGGCAUCCCGCCAGAUGCCAAUAUAAAGAAGUGGGCGUAUGUGGAUGCAAGUGGGAGAAAAUGAGAGACAUGGUUUAUUACCAUAUUGAGAUACUUGGAAUGACCGAAGGAAGAGAUUCAUGGUUGGCUGCCACCCUCCUCCUCCUGCUGAUCCCCACUGCAGGUGGCUUCACCGUCGUCU